Molecule: ribosomal RNA, 254 nt
Filed under: uncultured bacterium
Lineage: Bacteria
Description: partial 16S ribosomal RNA
Rfam family: Bacterial small subunit ribosomal RNA
Source: RNAcentral
UACGUAGGGUGCAAGCGUUGUCCGGAAUUAUUGGGCGUAAAGAGCUCGUAGGCGGUUUGUCGCGUCUGCUGUGAAAACCCCGAGGCUCAACCUCGGGCCUGCAGUGGGUACGGGCAGACUAGAGUGCGGUAGGGGAGAUUGGAAUUCCUGGUGUAGCAGUGAAAUGCGUAGAUAUCAGGAGGAAUACCGAUGGCGAAGGCAGGUCUCUGGGCUGACACUGACGCUCAUGCACGAAAGCGUGGGGAGCAAACAGG